CUCACUGUGCCAUGCUGGGCAAAUGCCCACUGAGAGGAGGUUGCCCAUUUCCUGCCAGUUCUCUUUGCCUCUCUGGAUUGAGUGCCAGCUAUUCUCAAGCCAAUAUUUGAUCCAAGAAGGGAGGAGGAAGGGAGGGAGGGAACAAGGGAAGGGCAGUGCCAAUAGUUCUCAGGGAUUUGCGGGUAUCCUAGAAGCAUCUGGGCAAUGUGAGAGGAGGUGAAAUCUAGGCAGGAAAAGAGCUAGCAGGAACCAGACUGAGGGGGAAGAGCCUCCAGCCAACUGGGAAGAGGUUCAAGGCCAGGUCUUCUCUCAGAGGGAGCUGGAGGGGGAACAGAGCUCUGGGCAGAUGACCAGUGUCCCUGGCACAUCCAAGUGGUAUUUAAUAGAAUGCAGGCAGCUCAAGGCUCCCAUAGAUACUGGCAGCAGGGGAGGGGGCAGCCACCCUGUCCUCAAGCACACACUGAGCCCCAGGUAUGGAAGCCACUUGUUGUCCCUACCCCCCUCUGCCAGACUUUCAGGUUCAAGGCCUUGGCAAAAUAGAUCUUACAAGUGAACAAACAGCCUUUAGAAUCCAAAGCUCGGCAGGAAGGGGAUGAAUAUUUGAGAUAUUCCUAUUUUCUAAACUGGCGAGAUUAAAUACGGUUUCCUAGCCUCCAUGAAUAUCCAUUUGUCUUAGGGGUGCUGUGAAGGAUUUCCCUCCAUACAGCUGCCCUCUUACGACAUUGCUUCCUCUGCGGUCUUAGGUGGGUAAGACCUUGGGUGGUGGCUGACAGUCAUUGGUCAAGUUUGUUGCCGGGGCAGAGUGACUGGCCGUAGCUCCUCAGCAAGGAUGAGUUGACUUUAUUCUUCUUCAUUUUCCUUCCAGGCCAACCAGAGGCUGCCCCCUGCAAAUGUGUUUACUUUACAGAUUCCACCUUCCCUUGGGUGGAGGCUGACCUUUGACCGGGGUGAGCAGACCCAUUUGGGCAAUGACCUUGAGGUAUGCUCCCUGACCUAGCUUUCACUGGCAGCAAAGGUGGAGUUUUGUUAGCUCUCUGCUACCUCUUUUGUCCAGAACUUGGGGACUUGCUCUUCCUGGAUCCCUGGUGGACCUGGAAAAUGCUAUGGGCAGCCAGGCUUCUGCAGGCAAGCCUUGGCCUCCAGCAGAGGAAGAAGAUGUUCUGGCCUGCUGUGUCAUUCCCUUGGGGCUCCUGGUGACAUCCCUGACUGUCUUUUUGGCUUCUUUGUGACAUAUGUGGACAAGUCUCUCCCAAACUCUUCAUGGAGAUAUUUGCAUCAAAAGAGAAACUAACAGCAACGAUGCCGCAGGAUCAGAUCGAACAUGAACCUCUGCCCUUGGGUCUGAACGUCUGGACUUAAAACCGGUGCUUCUAAUGGUACAACAUAGUAAUAGCUCAGCGUGUGUUAGCAGAGAAUAGUUCUGGAUAAUGACAUUUUCUCUAAAAUGUGACAACUGAA
Felis catus (domestic cat) is the source of this 1458-nucleotide long non-coding RNA. RefSeq lists it as uncharacterized. The transcript has 2 exons. The record is from RefSeq and is a predicted model, not a curated record. NCBI's taxonomy places the organism in Eukaryota, Metazoa, Chordata, Mammalia, Carnivora, Felidae.